RNAcentral lists this small RNA (178 nucleotides) under Chrysemys picta bellii (western painted turtle). Its description in RNAcentral is "TUC338 (ENSCPBG00000017184.1)". Lineage: Eukaryota; Metazoa; Chordata; Testudines; Emydidae. The record is from RNAcentral.
UUGACACCCUUGGAGACUGAAGUCCUGUAUCUAGCCACAGAAAAGGGGCAGUUGAAGCCCAAAGUAAUUUCCCUCCUCCCCCAAUGCUCCAGUAAGGAGUGUCACAUUUGACCCGGAGAGAUUCCUUCCGGGGUGAGAUGGUAUUUCAGUUUCCACAUCCAUUACAUCCUUGGCCUCU